Molecule: long non-coding RNA, 1056 nt
Filed under: Vulpes vulpes (red fox)
Lineage: Eukaryota; Metazoa; Chordata; Mammalia; Carnivora; Canidae
Description: lncRNA (ENSVVUG00000021972.1)
Source: RNAcentral
GUUUAUACCGAGUAGCAAGAAAGCCAGGCUGCAGAUGUGGCUCUGAGAAAACAAGACAAAGUCGCAUGGAGAGUGCUAGAGACUCCAUCUUUGGUUGUCCCUGAAGCCACACUUCCGUCUCCCGGUUUGGUGUUCAACAUUUCUUUUUAAAGUUAUUUUUCAAAAUUCCUUAUUAUGCAAAACUUAUGAGGUAGCUAUUUAGUAGGUUCUACAAAGCAUUCCAAAUGGAAUCAUGAGAGCACAUUGUGAGAAGGCAGCACCUCCUUGGAACAAUUCCAUUGGGCUACUAUGAAAAUGGAGACAUGGGAGUACAGAAAUUAAAAAAACAAACUCAAAAGAAAGACUAAAUGCAUAUGAUGGACAACUGAGUUAUUGACCUAAAAACUGACUGCUUAUUAAACUGUAUCUGGGUAUGUGUUUGGUAUUUCGGGAGUAUGGUUACCUUAAGAUAGAAAUUGUUAUUACUCAAGUUUGAAAAGUAUUGGAGAAUAUAGAGCCACCCCACAAAAGAAUGGAACAGAAAAGACAAAUAGUAAAAACUUGGAGGACAAAUAUACAAGAUCUAAUAUCUAUGAAAACAGACAUACAGGAGGAGAGAACGGUAGCUGAGGAAGGGAAAUAAAGAGCAAGAAGAUGAGCCAGGAGUCAGGGGAGGAGAAGAAAGGAGAGGAAGAGGAGGAGACAAUGUUGGUGUGAAACUAAAAGAAGGCAGUUUUUUCAGGCAAAGGAGCCCAUCAGGUGCACAACAGGAAAUGUGCCAAAGCCAUAUUUAGGGUACUUAAUGCAUUCUUUAGAAAGUAAUAAAAAUAGGAGGUUGCUGAAAGGAUUUGGUAAUGGAAAAAAAAGCAAACUAAAAAAAUAGAAAGAAGAACUUAACGAAUACAAAACUUCGAAUCAAUGAAACAAAAGACACAAGAUGGAUUGAUAAAGCCAAAAUAUAUUCUUUUGGAAAGACUUAAAAUGUUGGCAGUCUGGGAAAUUACAAAACAAAUAUACAGCAAGUAUACAAAGAACAAAAGAAUGAAUGAACUGCAGACGAAAUCUUAUCUGUGUUGA